Unclassified non-coding RNA from Dipodomys ordii (Ord's kangaroo rat), 290 nucleotides. It matches the Rfam family "Metazoan signal recognition particle RNA". Rfam says of the family: The signal recognition particle (SRP) is a universally conserved ribonucleoprotein. It is involved in the co-translational targeting of proteins to membranes. The eukaryotic SRP consists of a 300-nucleotide 7S RNA and six proteins: SRPs 72, 68, 54, 19, 14, and 9. Lineage: Eukaryota; Metazoa; Chordata; Mammalia; Rodentia; Heteromyidae. The record is from Ensembl.
GCCGGGCGCGGUGGCGCGCGCCUGUAAUCCCAGCUACUCGGAAGGCUGAGCCCGGAGGAUCGCUUGAGUCCAGGAGUUCUGGGCUGCAGUGCGCUAUGCCGAUCGGGUGUCCGCACUAAGUUCGGCAUCAAUAUGGUGACCUUCCGGGAGCGGGAGAACACCAGGUUGCCUAAGGAGGGGUGAACCGGCCCAGGUCCGAAACGGAGCAGGUCAAAAAAAAAAAAGGAAAAACUCAAGGAUUCAGUUGUCUUAUGUCCUAAUGUGUUUGUUCUUUCUAGAAAUGUCCAGCA